This 429-nucleotide ribosomal RNA is filed under the name Chloroflexota bacterium. Its description in RNAcentral is "Chloroflexi bacterium partial 16S ribosomal RNA". It matches the Rfam family "Bacterial small subunit ribosomal RNA", at positions 355 to 776 of the family's 1533-position model. Lineage: Bacteria; Bacillati; Chloroflexota. The record is from RNAcentral.
UGGGGAAUAUUGCACAAUGGGCGCAAGCCUGAUGCAGCCAUGCCGCGUGUGUGAAGAAGGCCUUCGGGUUGUAAAGCACUUUCAGCGGGGAGGAAGGCGGUGAGGUUAAUAACCUCAUCGAUUGACGUUACCCGCAGAAGAAGCACCGGCUAACUCCGUGCCAGCAGCCGCGGUAAUACGGAGGGUGCAAGCGUUACUCGGAAUUACUGGGCGUAAAGCGCACGCAGGCGGUCUGUCAAGUCGGAUGUGAAAUCCCCGGGCUCAACCUGGGAACUGCAUUCGAAACUGGCAGGCUAGAGUCUUGUAGAGGGGGGUAGAAUUCCAGGUGUAGCGAUGAAAUGCGUAGAGAUCUGGAGGAAUACCGGUGGCGAAGGCGGCCCCCUGGACAAAGACUGACGCUCAGGUGCGAAAGCGUGGGGAGCAAACAGG